Molecule: ribosomal RNA, 232 nt
Filed under: uncultured bacterium
Lineage: Bacteria
Description: partial 16S ribosomal RNA
Rfam family: Bacterial small subunit ribosomal RNA
Source: RNAcentral
UACGUAGGGGGCAAGCGUUGUCCGGAUUUAUUGGGCGUAAAGAGCGUGUAGGCGGUUUGGUAGGUCCGCUGUGAAAACUCGAGGCUCAACCUCGAGACGCCGGUGGAAACCAUCAGGCUAGAGUCCGGAAGAGGAGAGUGGAAUUCCUGGUGUAGCGGUGAAAUGCGCAGAUAUCAGGAAGAACACCCGUGGCUAAGGCGGCUCUCUAGUACGGUACUGGACGCUGAGACGC